UACGUAGGGGGCAAGCGUUGUUCGGAAUUACUGGGCGUAAAGGGCUCGUAGGUGGCCAACUAAGUCAGACGUGAAAUCCCUCGGCUUAACCGGGGAACUGCGUCUGAUACUGGAUGGCUUGAGUUUGGGAGAGGGACGCGGAAUUCCUGGUGUAGCGGUGAAAUGCGCAGAUAUCAGGAGGAACACCGGUGGCGAAGGCGGGUCUCUGGGCCGAUACUGACGCUGAGGAGCGAAAGCGUGGGGAGCGAACAGG
This 253-nucleotide ribosomal RNA is filed under the name uncultured bacterium. RNAcentral describes it as "partial 16S ribosomal RNA". It matches the Rfam family "Bacterial small subunit ribosomal RNA", at positions 524 to 776 of the family's 1533-position model. The record is from RNAcentral.